RNAcentral lists this long non-coding RNA (648 nucleotides) under Nicotiana benthamiana. RNAcentral describes it as "long non-coding RNA (NBEN_LNC010677)". Lineage: Eukaryota; Viridiplantae; Streptophyta; Magnoliopsida; Solanales; Solanaceae. The record is from RNAcentral.
GAGGUUGCCAAAAUUCUUAUUGCUCCAUCAUUCUUGAAUGAUGUCGUUCGGGCUCUUAAAGUUGGUGGUCUUUUGAUUCGGGUGCUCCGUAUGGUGGAUGGGGAGAAAAGACCACCAAUGGGCUAUCUUUAUGAAGCUAUGGAUAGAGCGAAAGAGAGUAUUGCAGCAUCAUUUGAUGGAGAUGUUAGGAAAUAUGAGAAAGUUUUUGAGGGAGAAAAGACCACCAAUGGGCUAUCUUUAUGAAGCUAUGGAUAGAGCGAAAGAGAGUAUUGCAGCAUCAUUUGAUGGAGAUGUUAAGAAAUAUGAGAAAGUUUUUGAGAUGAUUGAUAGCAGGUGGGACAAGCAACUCCAUCUACCUUUGCAUGCAGCAGGCCAUCUUCUUAACCCGAGAUUAUUUUACAAGAACACUAGUCAGGAAACUUUGGCUCCAAAGGUGUGGGUUGGAUACCAUGCAUGUCCUGAGAAGUUGAUCCUUAAUUCAGCGACGAUAGAUCUAAUAGGGGAGGAGUUUUCUAAGUACGAACAAGCAGAUGACCUAUUUGGUUUACCGGCUGCCAUUAGAGCCAGAGACAAAAGGUCGCCAGGUAACUAACUUUAAUAUAGAUUUCCUUAUAACUUUAAUUUAAUUAGUACGAACAAGCAGAUGAC